GAUGAACGCUAGCUACAGGCUUAACACAUGCAAGUCGCGGGGCAGCAUGGGGGUUGCUUGCAAUCCCCGAUGGCGACCGGCGCACGGGUGAGUAACGCGUAUCCAUCCUGCCCUUCACCACGGGAGAACCCGGCGAAAGUCGGACUAAUACCGUAUGUUGUCCAUUGAUGGCAUCCGAUUUGGACGAAAGGUUUGGCGGUGAAGGAUGGGGAUGCGUCCGAUUAGCUGGACGGCGGGGUGACGGCCCACCGUGGCGACGAUCGGUAGGGGUUCUGAGAGGAAGGUCCCCCACACUGGAACUGAGACACGGUCCAGACUCCUACGGGAGGCAGCAGUGAGGAAUAUUGGUCAAUGGGCGUAAGCCUGAACCAGCCAAGUAGCGUGCAGGAUGACGGCCCUAUGGGUUGUAAACUGCUUUUAUGCGGGGAUAAAGUGGCCCACGUGUGGGUUUUUGCAGGUACCGCAUGAAUAAGGACCGGCUAAGUCCGUG
RNAcentral lists this ribosomal RNA (490 nucleotides) under uncultured bacterium. Its description in RNAcentral is "partial 16S ribosomal RNA". It matches the Rfam family "Bacterial small subunit ribosomal RNA", at positions 28 to 507 of the family's 1533-position model. The record is from RNAcentral.